RNAcentral lists this ribosomal RNA (472 nucleotides) under uncultured bacterium. RNAcentral describes it as "SSU rRNA". It matches the Rfam family "Bacterial small subunit ribosomal RNA", at positions 26 to 518 of the family's 1533-position model. The record is from RNAcentral.
AGGACGAACGCUGGCGGCGUGCUUAACACAUGCAAGUCGAGCGGAAAGGCCCUUCGGGGUACUCGAGCGGCGAACGGGUGAGUAACACGUGAGCAACCUGCCCUUAGCUCCGGGAUAGCUCCGGGAAACCGGAAUUAAUACCGGAUAUGACCUAGGCCGACAUCGGCUGUGGUGGAAAGUUUUUCGGCUGGGGAUGGACUCGCGGCCUAUCAGCUUGUUGGUGGGGUAAUGGCCUACCAAGGCGACGACGGGUAGCCGGCCUGAGAGGGCGACCGGCCACACUGGGACUGAGACACGGCCCAGACUCCUACGGGAGGCAGCAGUGGGGAAUCUUGCGCAAUGGGCGAAAGCCUGACGCAGCGACGCCGCGUGGGGAUGAAGGCCUUCGGGUUGUAAACCCCUUUCAGCAGGACGAAGCGAAAGUGACGGUACCUGCAGAAGAAGCGCCGGCUAACUACGUGCCAGCAGCCGC